GUGGCGGACGGGUGAUCAGCGCAGGUCUCGCCCUUCGGACGGGGACAACAUUCGGGAUCCGAUCGCUCAUACCGGAUGAGCCGAGAGGUAUACACCCUCGGCCUAGGGAUCGAACUCGCGUCUGAUUAGCUAGUUGGUGGGGUAAGGGCCUACCAAGGCAACGAUCAGUAGCUCGGUCUGAGAGGAUGACCAGCCACACUGGGACUGAGACACGGCCCAGACUCCUACGGGAGGCAGCAGUGGGGAAUCUUCCGCAAUGGGCGCAAGCCUGACGGAGCAACGCCGCGUGAGGGAGGACGGUUUGUGGACUGUAAACCUCUUUUAAUAGGGAAGUAAUAACUGACGGUACCUAUUGAAUAAGCAUCGGCUAACUCCGUGCCAGCAGCCGCGGUAAUACGGAGGAUGCAAGCGUUAUCCGGAAUUAUUGGGCGUAAAGGGUCCGCAGGUGGUUAAUCAAGUCAGGCGUUAAAGGUCCGAGCUUAACUCGGGGAGAGCGGUUGAAACUGAUUGACUAGAGUACGGUAGGGGCAGAGGGAAUUCCUAGUGUAGCGGUGAAAUGCGUAGAUAUUAGGAAGAACACCAGUGGCGAAGGCGCUCUGCUGGGCCUGUACUGACACUGAGGGACGAAAGCUAGGGGAGCGAAAGGGAUUAGAUACCCCUGUAGUCCUAGCUGUAAACGAUGGAUACUAGGUGUUGCUCGUAUC
Molecule: ribosomal RNA, 704 nt
Filed under: uncultured bacterium
Lineage: Bacteria
Description: bacterial SSU rRNA
Rfam family: Bacterial small subunit ribosomal RNA
Source: RNAcentral